CCUCCUGCAGCUGCUGCUGGAAUAGUGAAAGUGUUGGUUUGAACCUCAGAAGGAAACAGACUCAUAAGCUACCCAUAUAAAUGUAAUCUAUAAAACAAUGGUUUUCACCCAUGAUCCUUUAAAAUAUAUAUUUUUAAGCUCUAACUCUUGAGAUUCUGAUUCUCCAGGCAGGGCCCCACUUUGUAGAUUUUUAGCACACUCUGGAGGAUUCUAUGGUGGGACCAGAACAAGGACCCCAAUUUUCUAGCUCUUGACUGGAGCCUCCCCAUACCCUGCAUGAUCCCUAGACCAUGGUCCCGGCCGGAUGGGGAUCCCACAACCCCCGGGGCUGCAACCGCUUGCCUGUGGCAGCAGGGGCUUGGCCCUCUCCACCUUUCUUUCUAGCUCCUUUAUGUUGAGCUGGAUCUCAGACUUUUGAGUCUCUUGAAGUCGAACUUUUUCUUCUAAUUUGAUAUUUUUCUCCUUCAGCUCCUCAUCGAUUAUGCUAUGGCCAGAGACAGUAGAGAAAGGAAUGAACGAAGAACAGAAAGGAACGCUUUGGUGACCAACCCUCUGCUUUCACCCCACAACCACAGAACCGUGGCAUUGGAUGGGACCCCAGGAAUUAAAAGUCCCAGGUGGCAGGCCAGAGAGAAGAUAUGAGUUGCCUGAGGCUACCCCAAAGAGGAAGACAGAGCUCUUACCAGGGGGAGGCAGAGAUGGCACAGCAAGGGACAUGCCCCCAGAAUGGCACCACUGCCCCAGGACAGGCCCACCCAUGGGACCAGGUCCCACAGUCCCCAAUCCCCUUCCAGCUGGAAACCUGUGCUAUAACCAGAGGAACCAGAAAUGGGCAAGAACACUCAGGGGACUGGGUCCUAAGACCAAAGACCAGUCUCGUGGCAGUAAUGACAGUUCCUAGAGGGACUGUGACAUCACUACAUUCCACUCCUCAGUGGAGUGGUGGGGAGGACACGUGAGUGCAAUGUCCAAGUUGCCGCUUUGAGAUUGGGGAGGGGGAGUCACAGGAUUGGGACCCAGGUCCUUGGAGAUGCAAGCCCAAAGAGCCCAGGGAGGUCAGGCUUUGGGUGGCGAGAGGUGAGGGCCGAGUAUGGAGCAGGAAGCCCCAGGAGUCACCUGUCCAAAGUGACCAUGGGGCAACUGGUGGGGGCAGGUUCUGGGGCACCCAGGUCCUUGGAGACGUGAGCCCAAAGAGCCCAAGGAGGUCGGGUUUGGGGUAGCAGGAGGUAAGGGCAGAGUAUGGAGUGGGAAGCCCUGGGAGUCACCAGCUCAAAGUCACCCUGGGGUGACUGGUGAGGGCAGGGGCAGGACUCACAAGGGGGUUGGGCUGGCUCACAAGAUUUGGGUGUGGGGAGCCCAGAGGCACUGGGUGGGGGUGGUCCCAGCCUGAUGUGCCUCAGCAGUGGCACAGACUCUGGCAGCAGCUUGACUGUCAGAGGGCACCUGGGGCUGGGUUGGGGUGCCGCAACCUGGUGCAUUUUACCUUUUCCUUGGCCUUGGCCAAUUUGAUCAGUGGGGUUUCUUCGGACCUCAUGGGAUGGGUAGGGCGGUGGGGUUGGGGCCACAUCAGCACAAUCCAGGCGAGGACAACUGUACACGUCCAGUCACCUUCCAGGUAGCUGUGUGACUGAGCCAGAGGAAGUGUAACCAGGGCCACACUAGAAUGCAGAAUAGGGGCGUGGCCUUAAUGCUUCAAGCCUAUUGGUCAGUGAGAAAGAUGCAAGGGAAAGGAGGCGUGGCCAGACAGCAGCGUGUCAUGACGGACCUCUGAUGUCACAAGGACAGCCACCCAUGCAACUGCUGUCCCCGCCCACUCCAGGAGAGGGGUGGGGCUGGCUUUCACUUUAAAAACUUUAAAACUUUAUUACCUCAAUUGAGGUACAAAUCCUUUUAAAAUGGAAAUUUUAUAGUGUGCUUGAUGAUUGAUAAAGCAGACUAUAUUAUCCAACAUUCCACUAA
Molecule: long non-coding RNA, 1959 nt
Filed under: Piliocolobus tephrosceles (Ugandan red Colobus)
Lineage: Eukaryota; Metazoa; Chordata; Mammalia; Primates; Cercopithecidae
Description: lncRNA (ENSPTEG00000024860.1)
Source: RNAcentral